GUCUUCGUUUUGUUCGUUCCUUUCCUCAUUUGCAUCCUUUAACCGACCGGUUACUUGGAUUCCCAGUUUCUAUUGUGCCCUCGUUAGGACACACAUUGCUACAACGAAGCCGGAACUCAGAUUUGCUCAUCGGAAAUCCACCAUCACUCAUAUCAUCGAUCCAAGAAAUGUAUAACAAUGUGGGAGCCCAGCCUGGGGCGCCAAGGCCUCCAACAAAUCCUCAGCCUAAUCCAUUUGG
RNAcentral lists this unclassified non-coding RNA (238 nucleotides) under Hevea brasiliensis (rubber tree). The record is from RNAcentral. Lineage: Eukaryota; Viridiplantae; Streptophyta; Magnoliopsida; Malpighiales; Euphorbiaceae.